GACGAACGCUGGCGGCGUGCCUAAUACAUGCAAGUAGAACGCACAGUUUAUACCGUAGCUUGCUACACCAUAAACUGUGAGUUGCGAACGGGUGAGUAACGCGUAGGUAACCUGCCUGGUAGCGGGGGAUAACUAUUGGAAACGAUAGCUAAUACCGCAUAAUAUUGAUUAUUGCAUGAUAAUUGAUUGAAAGAUGCUAUUGCAUCACUACCAGAUGGACCUGCGUUGUAUUAGCUAGUAGGUGAGGUAACGGCUCACCUAGGCGAGGAUACAUAGCCGACCUGAGAGGGUGAUCGGCCACACUGGGACUGAGACACGGCCCAGACUCCUACGGGAGGCAGCAGUAGGGAAUCUUCGGCAAUGGACGAAAGUCUGACCGAGCAACGCCGCGUGAGUGAAGAAGGUUUUCGGAUCGUAAAGCUCUGUUGUAAGAGAAGAACGGGUGUGAGAGUGGAAAGUUCACACUGUGACGGUAUCUUACCAGAAAGGGACGGCUAACUACGUG
This 505-nucleotide ribosomal RNA is filed under the name uncultured bacterium. RNAcentral describes it as "partial 16S ribosomal RNA". It matches the Rfam family "Bacterial small subunit ribosomal RNA", at positions 28 to 507 of the family's 1533-position model. The record is from RNAcentral.